This 896-nucleotide ribosomal RNA is filed under the name Mariannaea punicea. Its description in RNAcentral is "LSU rRNA". It matches the Rfam family "Eukaryotic large subunit ribosomal RNA", at positions 36 to 964 of the family's 3401-position model. Lineage: Eukaryota; Fungi; Ascomycota; Sordariomycetes; Hypocreales; Nectriaceae. The record is from RNAcentral.
UAGCAUAUCAAUAAGCGGAAGGAAAAGAAACCAACAGGGAUUGCCUAGUAACGGCGAGUGAAGCGGCAACAGCUCAAAUUUGAAAUCUGGCCUUCGGGUCCGAGUUGUAAUUUGCAGAGGAUGCUUUUGGUGAGGUGCCUUCCGAGUUCCCUGGAACGGGACGCCAUAGAGGGUGAGAGCCCCGUCUGGUCGGACACCAAUCCUUUGUAAAGCUCCUUCGACGAGUCGAGUAGUUUGGGAAUGCUGCUCUAAAUGGGAGGUAUAUGUCUUCUAAAGCUAAAUACCGGCCAGAGACCGAUAGCGCACAAGUAGAGUGAUCGAAAGAUGAAAAGCACUUUGAAAAGAGAGUUAAACAGUACGUGAAAUUGUUGAAAGGGAAGCGCUCAUGACCAGACUUGGGCUUGGUUGAUCAACUUGGGUUCUCCCGGGUGCACUCUUCCUCGUCCAGGCCAGCAUCAGUUCGCUGCGGGGGAUAAAGGUUUCGGGAAUGUGGCUCCCUCGGGAGUGUUAUAGCCCGUUGCGUAAUACCCUGCGGUGGACUGAGGUCCGCGCAUCUGCAAGGAUGCUGGCGUAAUGGUCAUCAGCGACCCGUCUUGAAACACGGACCAAGGAGUCGUCUUCGUAUGCGAGUGUUCGGGUGUUAAACCCCUACGCGGAAUGAAAGUGAACGCAGGUGAGAGCUUCGGCGCAUCAUCGACCGAUCCUGAUGUUCUCGGAUGGAUUUGAGUAAGAGCAUACGGGGCCGGACCCGAAAGAAGGUGAACUAUGCCUGUAUAGGGUGAAGCCAGAGGAAACUCUGGUGGAGGCUCGCAGCGGUUCUGACGUGCAAAUCGAUCGUCAAAUAUGGCAUGGGGCGAAAGACUAAUCGAACCUUCUAGUAGCUGGGUUUCCGCCGA